RNAcentral lists this long non-coding RNA (655 nucleotides) under Oryzias sinensis (Chinese medaka). RNAcentral's name for it is "lncRNA (ENSOSIG00000020688.1)". Lineage: Eukaryota; Metazoa; Chordata; Actinopteri; Beloniformes; Adrianichthyidae. The record is from RNAcentral.
UUCCCAUGAAGCGAAACAGGUCUCAGUUUUCAUUCUUUCUUAGCAGAACUGCGGGCUGAGCUUCACCAAGUCUUGUUGACUGGAAAACCACAGAAGCAUGUGUGAUGAUUAUGGACAGGAAAUCCUGAUCCCAAGCAAAUGACAAGUCCUAGCAGAAAGGAAGGAAUUCACAAAGACAGCCAUGGAUAAAUGAGCUUUUUCCAGAAGUGGAGUGUAGCUGCAGCUCCAACAACCCGAUCUUCUGGGAGUUGCUCUAAAUACCUCAUAGCCUCCAGGAAGUGGAAGCAGACGGAGCCCAGGUGUACAACAGCUGACUGGCACAGACACAAGCUCCUUUUGUUGAAGAACCUAUUUUUGUCUGUCCUACAGUCAUCAUCACUGUAUAAACUACACUGUCUUCAACUUUUAGCAAGAAGCUAAUAAAUGCGUUCAGUGAAAGCCCGAGGUCACUAAGUAAAAAAAAGUAAAAAUUUUCAUCAAAGUAGUUUUCCAUUAAUCAAAUGGGCUGUAAUUUAUGGCCAAAGUCAAAAACUGACAGCCCCAACAAGCCAAAUGAAGGUAAAUGAAGUUUCUGGCAGAGUGCUGCUGAAAUAAUUUACAAUUAUCUUGUAAAUGAGAUUCAAUCUUUACAUUAUUAAAAAUGUGUAUAAAUAAG